ACUCAAAUGAAUUGACGGGGGCCCGCACAAGCGGUGGAGCAUGUGGUUCAAUUCGAAGCAACGCGAAGAACCUUACCAACUUUUGACAUGUCCCGUAUGGGUUUCAGAGAUGAGACUCUUCAGUUCGGCUGGCGGGAACACAGGUGCUGCAUGGCUGUCGUCAGCUCGUGUCGUGAGAUGUUGGGUUAAGUCCCGCAACGAGCGCAACCCUCGCCCUUAGUUGCCAUCAUUCAGUUGGGCACUCUAAGGGGACUGCCGGUGAUAAGCCGGAGGAAGGUGGGGAUGACGUCAAGUCCUCAUGGCCCUUACAGGUUGGGCUACACACGUGCUAAAAUGGCGGUGACAGAGGGACGCGAAGACGCGAGUCUUGGCAAAUCUCAAAAAACCGUCUCAGUUCGGAUUGGGGUCUGCAACUCGACCCCAUGAAGUUGGAAUCGCUAGUAAUCGUGGAUCAGCACGCCACGGUGAAUACGUUCCCGGGCCUUGUACACACCGCCCGU
RNAcentral lists this ribosomal RNA (500 nucleotides) under uncultured bacterium. RNAcentral's name for it is "partial 16S ribosomal RNA". It matches the Rfam family "Bacterial small subunit ribosomal RNA", at positions 899 to 1397 of the family's 1533-position model. The record is from RNAcentral.